CAGUAGCCGCGGUAAUACGAAGGGUGCAAGCGUUAAUCGGAAUUACUGGGCGUAAAGCGCGCGUAGGUGGUUCGCCAAGUUGGAUGUGAAAUCCCCGGGCUCAACCUGGGAACUGCAUCCAAAACUGGCGAGCUAGAGUAUGGUAGAGGGUGGUGGAAUUUCCUGUGUAGCGGUGAAAUGCGUAGAUAUAGGAAGGAACAUCAGUGGCGAAGGCGACCACCUGGACUGAUACUGACACUGAGGUGCGAAAGCGUGGGGAGCAAACAGGAUUAGAUACCCCUGUAGUCCCUGUCUCUUAUAC
RNAcentral lists this ribosomal RNA (301 nucleotides) under uncultured bacterium. RNAcentral describes it as "partial 16S ribosomal RNA". It matches the Rfam family "Bacterial small subunit ribosomal RNA", at positions 509 to 807 of the family's 1533-position model. The record is from RNAcentral.